RNAcentral lists this ribosomal RNA (526 nucleotides) under uncultured bacterium. RNAcentral's name for it is "bacterial SSU rRNA". It matches the Rfam family "Bacterial small subunit ribosomal RNA", at positions 777 to 1300 of the family's 1533-position model. The record is from RNAcentral.
AAUAGAUACCCGGGUAGUCCAUGCCGUAAACGUUGGGAACUAGAUGUAGGGCCUGUUCCACGGGUUCUGUGUCGUAGCUAACGCAUUAAGUUCCCCGCCUGGGGAGUACGGCCGCAAGGCUAAAACUCAAAGGAAUUGACGGGGGCCCGCACAAGGCGGCGGAGCAUGCGGAUUAAUUCGAUGCAACGCGAAGAACCUUACCAAGGCUUGACAUAUAGAAGAACACUGCAGAGAUGCAGGACUCUUUGGACACUUCUAUACAGGUGGUGCAUGGUUGUCGUCAGCUCGUGUCGUGAGAUGUUCGGUUAAGUCCGGCAACGAGCGCAACCCUCGUCCUAUGUUGCCAGCACGUAAUGGUGGGAACUCAUGGGAUACUGCCGUGGUCAACACGGAGGAAGGUGGGGAUGACGUCAAAUCAUCAUGCCCCUUAUGUCUUGGGCUUCACGCAUGCUACAAUGGCCGGUACAAAGAGCUGCGAUACCGCGAGGUGGAGCGAAUCUCAAAAAGCCGGUCUCAGUUCGAGGUU